This 309-nucleotide ribosomal RNA is filed under the name Triticum aestivum (bread wheat). RNAcentral's name for it is "partial small subunit ribosomal RNA". Lineage: Eukaryota; Viridiplantae; Streptophyta; Magnoliopsida; Poales; Poaceae. The record is from RNAcentral.
UUCUCGGUCACGAAUGUCUAAGCCACUUCUGAUCACUCUUUCACCCAAGCUUUCAUCGAUGAGAUGAUGGCCGUCUCGGCGUCAAUUACAGGAGCCUGGCUUGCUCUUGGAGAUUUUAAUCUUAUUCGGUACCCCCACGAGAAAAACAACGCCAACUUUUGCACCUCCCUCGCCUCUAGCUUCAGCGCCUUGAUCAACGCCCUGUCGUUCGUCGAGCUCCCCCUCUCCGACCGCUUCUCCACAUGGACGAACCGGCGUACGCCGCCCACCCUCGCCCGCCUAGACCGGGCGUUGUUCAACGCUGGCUAG